Arvicanthis niloticus (Nile rat) is the source of this 553-nucleotide non-coding RNA. The record is from RefSeq and is a predicted model, not a curated record. NCBI's taxonomy places the organism in Eukaryota, Metazoa, Chordata, Mammalia, Rodentia, Muridae.
GGGAGGAGGGGCCAAGCAGUCCUUUUUAUAGUGAGUUAGGCCUGCCUGGCUGUUGCCAGGUAACUGUGGGGUGGAGUUUAGACAGAAUGCUAACCAGAAGGGUCAAGGAUACUUCAAGAAGAUGCACAGAGUCAACUAUCCCGAGACCAUGUGGGCUCACAGAGACUGGGUCACCAACCAGGGAUCAUGCAGGAGCUGGACCUAGACCCCUACAUAUUUGUAGGAUCCUCUACAAGUGGAGUUGGGGCUCUCUCUGUCUUUGUUUCUGCCAUCGGAUCCCCUUCCCCAUAUCUAGACUGCCUGGUUGGGCCUCAGUGGGAGAGGAUGCGUGCUGGGACUAGAUGCCUCAAGGAGAGCAUGAAUACAGUUUCUCACUACCACCAAAUAUGCAGUCAAGUUUCCUGAAUUUGGGGAAAUUAUAGGGACUAGAAUAUCUAGAUGUUCUGGAUGUAAUGAAUAAACCUCACCCUGGGAAAACCACCUUCGUGAUCAUGGUAUCUCUUCUUUUAGGCUCAUUGAAGAAUGGAAUGAAAUCAUUUUUAAAGAAUUGUUG